This 456-nucleotide ribosomal RNA is filed under the name Triticum aestivum (bread wheat). Its description in RNAcentral is "partial small subunit ribosomal RNA". Lineage: Eukaryota; Viridiplantae; Streptophyta; Magnoliopsida; Poales; Poaceae. The record is from RNAcentral.
AUGAAAGGUUUCUCCGAUAAAUGGCGCCACUGGAUCCAAAACUUUGUAACUGGCGGUAGUGUGGCCAUCGAAGUCAAUGAUGAUGUAGGUCAUUACUUUCAGACAAAAAAAGGACUAAAACAAGGUGACCCCAUAUCCCCAAUGUUAUUUAACAUUGUUGCUGACAUGUUGGCUAUUCUGAUUGAGCGCGCCAAGCAGGAUGGACAGAUUGCGGGAGUAGUGCCACACCUUGUGGAUGGUGGCCUCUCUAUUUUGCAAUAUGACGAUGACACAAUUCUUUUUAUGGAACAUGACCUGAACAAAGCUCGAAAUCUGAAACUCUUGUUUUCAAUGUUUGAGCAAAUGUCGGGCCUCAAAAUUAACUUACAUAGAAGUGAAUUGUUCUGCUUUAAGCCAUUGAGGCGGCGGCCGAUUAUGCUGACCUAUUUGGUUGCGCACUUAGCCAGUUCGCGAUAA